RNAcentral lists this ribosomal RNA (465 nucleotides) under uncultured bacterium. RNAcentral describes it as "bacterial SSU rRNA". It matches the Rfam family "Bacterial small subunit ribosomal RNA", at positions 338 to 795 of the family's 1533-position model. The record is from RNAcentral.
CCUACGGGAGGCAGCAGUGGGGAAUAUUGCACAAUGGGCGCAAGCCCGAUGCACCCAUGCCGCGUGUAUGAAGAAGGCCUUCGGGUUGUAAAGUACUUUCAGCGGGGAGGAAGGUGUUGUGGUUAAUAACCGCAGCAAUUGACGUUACCCGCAGAAGAAGCACCGGCUAACUCCGUGCCAGCAGCCGCGGUAAUACGGAGGGUGCAAGCGUUAAUCGGAAUUACUGGGCGUAAAGCGCACGCAGGCGGUCUGUCAAGUCGGAUGUGAAAGCCCCGGGCUCAACCUGGGAACUGCAUUCGAAACUGGCAGGCUAGAGUCUUGUAGAGGGGGGUAGGAUUCCAGGUGUAGCGGUGAAAUGCGUAGAGAUCUGGAGGAAUACCGGUGGCGAAGGCGGCCCCCUGGACAAAGACUGACGCUCAGGUGCGAAAGCGUGGGGAGCAAACAGGAUUAGAUACCCCCGUAGUC